RNAcentral lists this ribosomal RNA (497 nucleotides) under uncultured bacterium. RNAcentral describes it as "partial 16S ribosomal RNA". It matches the Rfam family "Bacterial small subunit ribosomal RNA", at positions 28 to 507 of the family's 1533-position model. The record is from RNAcentral.
GAUGAACGCUGGCGGCGUGCCUAAUACAUGCAAGUCGAGCGAACAGACGAGGAGCUUGCUCCUCUGACGUUAGCGGCGGACGGGUGAGUAACACGUGGAUAACCUACCUAUAAGACUGGGAUAACUUCGGGAAACCGGAGCUAAUACCGGAUAAUAUUUUGAACCGCAUGGUUCAAUAGUGAAAGACGGUCUUGCUGUCACUUAUAGAUGGAUCCGCGCCGCAUUAGCUAGUUGGUAAGGUAACGGCUUACCAAGGCAACGAUGCGUAGCCGACCUGAGAGGGGUAACGGGCCAACUGGAACUGAGACAAGGGCCCAAAUCCUAAGGGAGGCAGCAGUAGGGAAUCUUCCGCAAUGGGCGAAAGCCUGACGGAGCAACGCCGCGUGAGUGAUGAAGGUCUUCGGAUCGUAAAACUCUGUUAUUAGGGAAGAACAAAUGUGUAAGUAACUAUGCACGUCUUGACGGUACCUAAUCAGAAAGCCACGGCUAACUACGUG